GUUUAGGUUCUAGGGGGAGCCAAAGAUAACCGUAAAAUCCACGUAUUUAAAAGUCUUAUAACUUUUUAUUUUUGUCCCCACUGGCCUCCAAGUUUUCUAGGAUGAUGCAAUGUCCAGCCAUCAACACAUUUGUGAAGGAAUUUUUACUCGGCAAAAGAGCGCCCCCCCAUGGCAGGAGAAAAAAGUCAAUUUUUUCUUGUCCACUAAGGUGAAAAUACACAUUGUUGAGUGCUACGCCUGUAUGUUUUGUCGUAUUGACACAAAAUUUUACAUACCCGUGUAUUUCAAUAAGAUCUUCGAAAAAGUCAAUGGCCACGUAUCUGUAAAAUGUACGGUUAAAGGGUUAUUUCGCAUUUUUUGCAGAUUCGCACACAUUGGAAUUUCGCUAAUUCCUCCGAAGGCUUUCGUUCCACCGGCACCACAUUUGCUCAGGCCAAUCUACACCCCAUGGCCAUUAAAAGUUAUUCAAAUCAUGACGCUGCACCCCACGGUUUAGGUUCUAGGGGGCGCCAAAUAUAACCCUAAAAUCCACAUAUUUAAAAGUCUUAUAACUUUUUAUUUUUGUCCUCACUGGCCUCCAUGUUUUCUAGGAUGAUGCAAUGUCCAGCCAUCAACACAUUUGUGAAGGAGUUUUUUCUCUUUAAAAGAGCGCCCCCCCAUGGCAGGAGAAUAAAGUCAAGUUUUUCCUGUUCAUCAUUCAAUGGCUCAAAUGCACUGCUCUCUCGGCAAAAGCGAAAGGAGGAGCAACUUGCCAUUUGGAUAUAUCUUAGCUGUGUUUGUGCCCUCACUCAUGGUCCAGACUUUUUUCAAAUAGGACAUGGAGUUUCUCUGCAGCGAGCGUUUUGGUAGAAACUGCGCCUCCCAUUCAUUAUAAUGGUAAAUGACCACAAACAAGUGCGCACACCAUCUUUGGACCUUGAGUGUGACGCGAUCGGGUGGGGGAGGCGGUCGCGCUGGGGGCGGCGUGACACGGCUCGGGCCCGCCAGUGCCCCAACGGGGCCCUAGUUAUUAUUUUUCCUCCCCUUUGAACUGGAAAAUGGCCCACUUCCCACUGGCGAAAACUCAUGAAAUUUGGCAGGACGACCGGGCCUGGUGAAAAAUUUGAUAUUCCGAAGUCGCCCAAACAAGAAAAUGCAAAUUGGCUCCAUAGCGCCCCCUAAGGUGAAAAUUCACACUAUUCACUGUCACGCCUGUACGCUUUGUCAAAAUGACACAAAAAUUGACACACACAUGUAUCUCAAUAAGAUCUACAAAAAAGUCAGUGCGGGCGUAUCUGUCAAAUGUACGGUUAAAGGGUUAUUUCGCAUUUUUUGCCGAUCCGCACACAUUGGAAUUUCGCUAACUCCUCCGAAGGCUUUCGUUCCACCGGCACCACAUUUGCUCAGGCCAAUCUACACCCCAUGGCCAUUAAAAGUUAUUCAAAUCAUGACGCUGCACCCCACGGUUUAGGUUCUAGGGGGCGCCAAAGAUAACCCUAAGAUCCACAUAUUUAAAAGUCUUAUAACUUUUUAUUUUUGCCCUCACUGGCCUCCAAGUUUUCUAGGAUGAUGCAAUGUCCAGCCAUCAACACAUUUGUGAAGGAAUUUUUACUCCCCAAAAGAGCGCCCCCCCAUGGCAGGAGAAAAAAGUCCAUUUUUUCUUGUCCCCUAAGGUGAAAAUACACAUUGUUGAGUGUAACACCUGUACGCUUUGGCAAAAUGACACAAAAAUUGACACACACAUGUAUCUCAAUAAGAUCUACGAAAAAGUCAAUGCGCGCGUAUCUGUCAAAUGUACGGUUAAAGGGUUAUUGCGCAUUUUUUGCCGAUCCGCACACAUUGGAAUUUCGCUAACUCCUCCGAAGGCUUUCGUUCCACCGGCACCACAUUUGCUCAGGCCAAUCUACACCCCAUGGCCAUUAAAAGUUAUUCAAAUCAUGACGCUGCACCCCACGGUUUGGGUUCUAGGGGGAGCCAAAGAUAACCGUAAAAUCCACAUAUUUAAAAGUCUUAUAACUUUUUAUUUUUGUCCCCACUGGCCUCCAAGUUUUCUAGGAUGAUGCAAUGUCCAGCCAUCAAC
RNAcentral lists this long non-coding RNA (2059 nucleotides) under Xyrichtys novacula (pearly razorfish). Lineage: Eukaryota; Metazoa; Chordata; Actinopteri; Labriformes; Labridae. The record is from RNAcentral.